This 178-nucleotide ribosomal RNA is filed under the name uncultured bacterium. Its description in RNAcentral is "partial 16S ribosomal RNA". It matches the Rfam family "Bacterial small subunit ribosomal RNA", at positions 1322 to 1500 of the family's 1533-position model. The record is from RNAcentral.
GAAGCCGGAAUUGCUAGUAAUGGCAGGUCAGCAUACUGCCGUGAAUACGUUCCCGGGCCUUGUACACACCGCCCGUCACACCAUGAGAGUUGGGAAUACCCGAAGCCUGUGAGCUAACUUAUAGAGGCAGCAGUCGAAGGUAGAAUCAAUGAUUGGGGUGAAGUCGUAACAAGGUAUC